This 580-nucleotide ribosomal RNA is filed under the name Vibrio crassostreae. Its description in RNAcentral is "bacterial SSU rRNA". It matches the Rfam family "Bacterial small subunit ribosomal RNA", at positions 1 to 558 of the family's 1533-position model. Lineage: Bacteria; Pseudomonadati; Pseudomonadota; Gammaproteobacteria; Vibrionales; Vibrionaceae. The record is from RNAcentral.
UUAAAUUGAAGAGUUUGAUCAUGGCUCAGAUUGAACGCUGGCGGCAGGCCUAACACAUGCAAGUCGAGCGGAAACGACUUAACUGAACCUUCGGGGAACGUUAAGGGCGUCGAGCGGCGGACGGGUGAGUAAUGCCUGGGAAUAUGCCUUAGUGUGGGGGAUAACUAUUGGAAACGAUAGCUAAUACCGCAUAAUGUCUUCGGACCAAAGAGGGGGACCUUCGGGCCUCUCGCGCUAAGAUUAGCCCAGGUGAGAUUAGCUAGUUGGUGAGGUAAUGGCUCACCAAGGCGACGAUCCCUAGCUGGUCUGAGAGGAUGAUCAGCCACACUGGAACUGAGACACGGUCCAGACUCCUACGGGAGGCAGCAGUGGGGAAUAUUGCACAAUGGGCGAAAGCCUGAUGCAGCCAUGCCGCGUGUAUGAAGAAGGCCUUCGGGUUGUAAAGUACUUUCAGUAGGGAGGAAGGUGUUGUAGUUAAUAGCUGCAGCAUUUGACGUUACCUACAGAAGAAGCACCGGCUAACUCCGUGCCAGCAGCCGCGGUAAUACGGAGGGUGCGAGCGUUAAUCGGAAUUACUGGG